This 460-nucleotide ribosomal RNA is filed under the name uncultured bacterium. RNAcentral's name for it is "partial 16S ribosomal RNA". It matches the Rfam family "Bacterial small subunit ribosomal RNA", at positions 338 to 795 of the family's 1533-position model. The record is from RNAcentral.
CCUACGGGUGGCAGCAGUGAGGAAUAUUGGUCAAUGGCCGUAAGACUGAACCAGCCAAGUAGCGUGAGGGAUGACUGCCCUAUGGGUUGUAAACCUCUUUUAUGCGGGGAUAAAGUUGUCCACGUGUGGAUGUUUGCAGGUACCGCAUGAAUAAGGACCGGCUAAUUCCGUGCCAGCAGCCGCGGUAAUACGGAAGGUCCGGGCGUUAUCCGGAUUUAUUGGGUUUAAAGGGAGCGUAGGCCGGUCUUUAAGCGUGCCGUGAAAUUUCGUGGCUCAACCAUGAGAGUGCGGCGCGAACUGGAGUGCUUGAGUGCGCGGAAGGUAGGCGGAAUGCGUGGUGUAGCGGUGAAAUGCUUAGAUAUCACGAAGAACCCCGAUUGCGAAGGCAGCAUGCCGCAGCGUUACUGACGCUGAAGCUCGAAAGCGCGGGUAUCGAACAGGAUUAGAUACCCCAGUAGUC